GCUUUACUGUAACUUGGAAUUGAGUUUGGGCUCUUCUUGCGCAGUAUAGGUGGGAGGCUAAGAAAAUAUGCUUGCGGGCAUAUUUGAGCCAUCAUUGAGAUACCACUCUGGAAGGGUUGGAACUCUAACUUUGAGCCGUAAGCCGGCCAAAAGACAGUUUCUGGUGGGCAGUUUGACUGGGGCGGUAGCCUCCUAAAAAGUAACGGAGGCGUGCAAAGGUUUCCUCAGGCUGGACGGAAAUCAGCUUAAGAGUGUAAAGGUAGAAGGGAGCUUGACUGCAAGACAAACAAGUCGAGCAGGGGCGAAAGCCGGCCUUAGUGAUCCGACGGUACCGCGUGGAAGGGCCGUCGCUCAACGGAUAAAAGUUA
This 368-nucleotide ribosomal RNA is filed under the name uncultured alga. Its description in RNAcentral is "bacterial LSU rRNA". It matches the Rfam family "Bacterial large subunit ribosomal RNA", at positions 2098 to 2465 of the family's 2925-position model. The record is from RNAcentral.